AAUCCCGCUGACCGCUCACCUCUGCAGGACCGGGUUUUAUCCCGCUGACCGUCCACACCCCGUCGGUCUCAGAUGUUAUCCCACCGACCAAUUCAUCACACUGGGGCAAAUUUUUUAGAUAAUUUUUCAAACAAGUCCUAUACAGUUCUCUAUUUAAUUUUCUGUUCGGGUCUAUCCCAUGGGUCUGUCCCAUCUACAUUUUUAUCCGAGUCUAUCGCAUUUACAUUCCUGUCCGGGUCUAUCCCGUUUACAAUUCUGUUCAGGCCAGUCCCAUGUUUGAAAUUCCUUGUUUAGGUCAGCCCUCCGAAUAGGGGCAACCGAAUGGUACAGGUAAGCAUUUGGUGUCUACUUCUUUGUCUCAAGUUUUUUCAAAACUCAGACAAAGAGGGGCAAACUGUAGACACCAAAAAUUUCAUCGAUUCAGUUUUAGCUUUAUUCAUUCAAUUUUGACUUCCUUUGAUUCAAUUUUUAGUUUUAUUAUUAUUAUUUAUUCUUGUCUCAUAUUUAUUAUUUUUAAUUGAUUGGAGGUUGCAAAUGGUAAUUGAUGUUCAUUCUUAUUUUAAAUGCAUUAAAAUUCAUCAUUUUCUUUUUAAAGCAAUUUUACACUAAAUUUUAGGAAAAUCCCGAAUAAAGAUCCAUUUUAUCUUUUUAAAAUUUGAUUUUUUCUUGCUAAGGCAUUUUGCAAGGUAAUUUUUAAAAAUUAAGCAUGUUAAACAAGUGUGUCAAUUGCAUGUUGAACAAGUGUGCAAAUAAGCAUUAGACAAGUGGUUGAGGAAUGGUAGGACAAGUGUAUAGGGGGUAGCUGUCAAGGACACUUGGGGGGUUUUUUGGGGGGCAUCGGAAAAAAAGGAAGAAAAAACCCUCGAAGAGGCUUGAAAACAGGGGGAAGAGAAAAGAGCUAAAAAUAGAGGGGCCAAGCAGCGGGCAAGGGGAAAAAACAGAGGCUAGACAAAACAAGGGGAAGCUGGGGGCUAAGAAUCUGAGGAAAAAAGGGAAAAAACACGGAGAAAAGGCCGAGGAGGGUGGCGGCUAAAAGGGAGAGCAAAAAGCAAAAAGGCUUGAGAGCUGAGAGGGCAGGGGCGGCGGAAUUGCCGAGCAGGGGCAAAAGAACAAAAACAGAAAAAUUUCGUCCGAGAGCAAAAGAAAGGAAAGCAGGAAAAAAGAGGAACCGGGCGGCGGGCUGAGCAUAAAUGGAAGAAACAAUCAACGAAAAACAGCAAAAGGGAAAAUAGGGGAGGUUUUGGCCAAAAAGAACAGAGCGACAUGAAGAAUAGAGGAAAAGUCCCCGGCCGCGAACGGAAGCAGAGGAAGAAAGCUUCAGCAAAAAUAAAGGGCAAAUUCGAAAAGCUUGUAGCUGCUGCCGUUCACUGGAAUCACCAUUGCUCGCCACCGCAUCAGCGGAAUUCACCGCUGCCGCUCGUGAAUCUUCACCGUGAGAAACGAUGUAAGCUAUUCUUUCCCUUUUACAUUUCAGUUUUUUUUUCUUCAAGAAUGAAUUUCAGAAGCAUGGCUGCCGUGGGUCUGUCAUCAUGAUUUUUUUUUUCUGUUGAGGGUCGGUAAUUUUGUUCGCAUAUGUUUUCUGCGUGUGUUGGACUGAAUUCCUUGCUUUUCUGAUAAUUUUGGGGCCGGUUGUAAUGUAAUUUAAGCAGAAAUCUGUUGAGUUUUUUCAUGCCCAUUUGCUGUUUGCUAAAAUGCCCGAAUGAACCUUCUACUUGAAGAUGAUUUCGUUUGCUUUACGUACGAAGAAAAUGGAACAUUCGGAUGGUUUUUGCUUGUCCGAACAUAAUGAACGAUUCUCCAUGAUAGAAGCUGUGUUGGUUCGUUGUUUUUUUUUUCUGUUUUUUUAUCUCUAUGCUUGAAUCCGAAUCGAUGUUGAGAGGGAGUAUUGUUGUGAGUUUCAUUGUUUGCUGGAAUGAUUGGAAUCGAAACCAAAUUUCUGGUUUUGCUAAUCGAAAGGAAAGCUGAAAUGCUUAACUGGUAUCAGCAAUGAAGAGGAAAGCCUCUGCGAAACAUGAGUGAAGAAAUGUCUAAAAUUGCAAUUUAAUCCCUCAUUUUCUGUCUCAUUUCAUUACGGCCCAAAAUCUGGAAAAAUCAAACUAAUUUUGCCCUUUUAAGCUUAUUCCUCUGUUUGCAUAUUUUAUGUGAUUUGUUGGAUAGAUUAAUUCUGGGAUUUGGAUUAUAAUUAUGGCCUAAUAAUUUUAGUUGAUUUGCUAAUCUUGUUAGGUUUGAUAUUAUGAUUUGGGUUGUGGGUAAUAAUAAUUUGUUUGGAUUUAUGAAAGUGGGUUUAGUUUAUUUUGUUUGGAUUUUUGGCUUGGGCUUAAGGGGGGCUAAAGCCCACUCUUUUGUUGGGUUUGUUUUAUUGAUAAGUAGAGGCCAGCCCAGAUGUAGCCUCUGGGCUUUGUGGCAGGCUAAGGAGUCUUGGCCCAAACAAAUAGAGAGAAGGGCCCAAUGGCCUGUUAAGUCCAGUAGCCCAAUGACGAAAUUUCAUUCCAGUCCCCUGACUUUUGGAUAUUUUUACUGUGGCCCUAGACAUUUCCAUUCCUUUCAAUUGAGUCCCUGGUUUAAUUGCAAAUAGGCCCUUGAACUUUAUUUUUCUUUAAUUUUGGCCCCAAAAUUUUUUUCAAUCUUUGCAAUCAAGUCCUCUCUUCUCUUGACUUCUUAAAUGUGGUUUGUUGACAUGAUUUAAUUGAUUCAAAUUCAUGUUUAUUUUUAUCCUUUGUGAUUAUUUGCCAAAUAAAUUGGUGCCUUGACCAUUUCUUUUAUUUUGGAGGAUAAAUAAGUGAUUUCACUUCAGUGGGGCCCAAUUACAAGGGAGGGAUGUUGUCUAGCAAUACAAUAGCAGGAAUUUGAGAGGAUUCCAUUGUGCACCUUCAAUUUGAUCACAGGUCGCAAUUAGAGAUCUAAAGUGUUGAUUGUACUUUAGUUUGUUGAAGGUAGAAGUCUGCUUUGCUGAAAUUUCCUUGUCUUAGAGAGUCUGAAAUGUUUAACUGCUGUUAGCAAAGAAAACACUACCACUUACUAUAAUGUCACAGCACACACUCAAUACACAGACACAUACCUCAUAGAAUACGGAUCACGGCUCACAGUUGGCACUUCUAGCUCCUCCCUGAGAAACUCAGUUCAUCUUCCAAUCAAUUCUUUUUGGUAUAAUUUUGGCUUUUUUAAGAGCCACUUCCAGAUGUAAAGAGUAUAUUUGAUGAGCAUUUUGAUAUUUUGGUUCUAGCACAUGGUCCAUUUCACUUCUAACUCAAUUAUAGAUUGCAGAUAUUUAAGAACAGAUUAUUUGGUGUGGACAGCCAAGCAUAAUAUGAUAGCUUAAGAAUAUUUGCACUGAGUUUCCCGCCUUUGCUAUCUUUCAAUAAAAAAUAGCAGUUUUAUCUGCUCACCACAUAUGUCUGCCACUGUGAUUUGUACAUUGAUUCCGAAAGUUGAGAUUCUAUGGGACAAAAUGGUUGCUCUGAACUUUCACCUCUUGAAAAUGCACCUGUCAUUUUAUCAUCUUGCUGUAAACCAUCUGAGAUUUGAUCUUCUCUACAACAUCUCUUAGAGAUGGGAUUCAACUCAACUUUCCCUAGUUAUGAUCUCUCAACAUGAGGACACUUGUCAAUCGACAAAUUCUCUCUGCCCCUUGAUUGUUGAAUUGGUGUUGGCAAAGGGACUGGUUCAAAGCUCAACUGGAAAUCUAUAAUGGCUGGUAAUUACUAAUUACAGAGCCUGCAUAUUUGAGAAUCAUGUUGAACCAGAUCCUGUUUCAGUUGGGCUGAAAUGUUUAUGUUGGCACUCUUUUCUUUCACUUUGGUGCCUCAGAUGGCCAAAACCUGAUGUACUGAUCUUGGGAGCUUGCACACUUUCAAUGUGCCUUUUUAGUCAUGAGGCCUGGAUUUUGAUUGCUCAAUGACUGCAACUGGCCUGUACGAGCUGCUGGCCAAAAAUUUCUUGCCCCAACUUAUCUGAAGUCUUUUAUGAAACCAUCAUUACCAUGACCUUCUGAUGAUCAUUAUUGGCAUCUUAUUGGGUCGUACUAGAGUUACACGUUAACAAUCAGAGGUUUUGCCAACUUUCAAGAAUAACACUCAGGCAGCAUGCUUUCUUCAGAUUUUUAAAUCUGAGUUCAUCCAACUCAGCCACGAAGACUAUGGUCAAUCAAGGAGUAUUCGCAGCUGUUGGUCAUCACUUUCAUGUUUUGGUUCAAAAAUUCUGGUAAUUUUAGAUAUGCUUCUCUUCUUACACUGCACGAUUGUGACUUUUAACCACUUUGAUAUCUAAUAUAUUAUGCACAAAACAAAAGAAAUCUAGUCAUCCUGAAGAUAUUUUUGAGGUAGCCAAGGAAGAUGU
Molecule: non-coding RNA, 4335 nt
Organism: Coffea arabica (coffee)
Lineage: Eukaryota; Viridiplantae; Streptophyta; Magnoliopsida; Gentianales; Rubiaceae
Source: RefSeq, a predicted model, not a curated record